Molecule: ribosomal RNA, 253 nt
Filed under: uncultured bacterium
Lineage: Bacteria
Description: partial 16S ribosomal RNA
Rfam family: Bacterial small subunit ribosomal RNA
Source: RNAcentral
UACGUAGGGUGCGAGCGUUGUCCGGAAUUACUGGGCGUAAAGAGCUCGUAGGCGGUCUGUCGCGUCGGCUGUGAAAACUCGGGGCUCAACCCCGAGCCUGCAGUCGAUACGGGCAGACUAGAGGUAGGUAGGGGAGAAUGGAAUUCCCGGUGUAGCGGUGAAAUGCGCAGAUAUCGGGAGGAACACCGGUGGCGAAGGCGGUUCUCUGGGCCUUACCUGACGCUAAGGAGCGAAAGCGUGGGGAGCGAACAGG